AUGGCCACCCUCCUCCUUUUAAUCUCCCCAGGCGCCGGUUCAGCAUCGAAUAAAAUCGAAUCUUCCCCGAUUUUGGGCGUGGGGAUGGAAGGGAAGGAGCUGGAUGCGCUGAAUCUUGGAUCUCGCUCGGAAUGGCAGCUGUGAGGAGGCGGGGAUGCAGGCGGAUGCCUGAUGCGAGAGUCGUCCGGCUGGCUGGAGACGUUGCUGGAUGAUACGCACGGUGAUCGCGAAAGCUGUGAGGCAUGCCGGCACGAUCUCUGCUGAUCUGGUCGCGAUGAUUACAGGGAUCUAAAAUCUGGGACGCCGUGGCGGUGUUCGAAAUGGAAGGAUGGCCGGAGAUGCGCUGCAGCCUUGAAUCGUGCCAUGGACGCGUUGAAGAUGCUUCGGACGAACGCCUGAUUCGCUAGCUGCACCGUGG
This 418-nucleotide long non-coding RNA is filed under the name Phoenix dactylifera (date palm). Its description in RNAcentral is "long non-coding RNA (PDAC_LNC016454)". Lineage: Eukaryota; Viridiplantae; Streptophyta; Magnoliopsida; Arecales; Arecaceae. The record is from RNAcentral.